Molecule: ribosomal RNA, 254 nt
Filed under: uncultured bacterium
Lineage: Bacteria
Description: partial 16S ribosomal RNA
Rfam family: Bacterial small subunit ribosomal RNA
Source: RNAcentral
UACGUAGGCAGCAAGCGUUGUUCGGAGUUACUGGGCGUAAAGGGUGUGUAGGCGGUUCUUUAAGUUUGGUGUGAAAUCUCCCGGCUCAACCGGGAGGGUGCGCCGAAUACUGAAUGACUUGGAGUGCGGGAGAGGAAAGUGGAAUUCCUGGUGUAGCGGUGAAAUGCGUAGAUAUCUGGAGGAACACCGGUGGCGAAGGCGGCAUCCUGGACCGGGAUUGACACUGAGGCGCGAAAGCCAGGGGAGCAAACGGG